GUAGCAUAUCAAUAAGCGGAGGAAAAGAAACUAACAAGGAUUCCCCUAGUAACUGCGAGUGAAGCGGGAAAAGCUCAAAUUUAAAAUCUGGCGGUCUUUGGCCGUCCGAGUUGUAGUCUGGAGAAGUGCUUUCCGCGCUGGACCGUGUAUAAGUCUCUUGGAACAGAGCGUCAUAGAGGGUGAGAAUCCCGUCUUUGACACGGACUACCAGUGCUUUGUGAUGCGCUCUCAAAGAGUCGAGUUGUUUGGGAAUGCAGCUCAAAAUGGGUGGUGAAUUCCAUCUAAAGCUAAAUAUUGGCGAGAGACCGAUAGCGAACAAGUACCGUGAGGGAAAGAUGAAAAGCACUUUGGAAAGAGAGUUAAACAGUACGUGAAAUUGCUGAAAGGGAAACGCUUGAAGUCAGUCGCGUUGUCCGGAACUCAGCCUUGCUUUUGCUUGGUGCACUUUCCGGAUGACGGGUCAGCAUCGAUUUUGACCGUCGGAAAAGGGCUGGAGUAAUGUGGCACCUCCGGGUGUGUUAUAGACUCUGGUCGCAUACGGCGGUUGGGAUCGAGGAACGCAGCGCGCCGCAAGGCAGGGGUUCGCCCACUUUCGCGCUUAGGAUGCUGGCAUAAUGGCUUUAAACGACCCGUCUUGAAACACGGACCAAGGAGUCUAACAUACCUGCGAGUGUUUGGGUGGAAAACCCGAGCGCGUAAUGAAAGUGAAAGUUGAGAUCCCUGUCGUGGGGAGCAUCGACGCCCGGACCAGACGUUCUCUGACGGAUCCGCGGUAGAGCAUGUAUGUUGGGACCCGAAAGAUGGUGAACUAUGCCUGAAUAGGGUGAAGCCAGAGGAAACUCUGGUGGAGGCUCGUAGCGAUUCUGACGUGCAAAUCGAUCGUCAAAUUUGGGUAUAGGGGCGAAAGACUAAUCGAACCAUCUAGUAGCUGGUUCCUGCGACCCCCUUCCCCCCGAAGUAGAAAA
Molecule: ribosomal RNA, 965 nt
Filed under: Fomes sp.
Lineage: Eukaryota; Fungi; Basidiomycota; Agaricomycetes; Polyporales; Polyporaceae
Description: partial large subunit ribosomal RNA
Rfam family: Eukaryotic large subunit ribosomal RNA
Source: RNAcentral